This 334-nucleotide unclassified non-coding RNA is filed under the name soil metagenome. Its description in RNAcentral is "partial contains 5.8S ribosomal RNA, internal transcribed spacer 2, and large subunit ribosomal RNA". The stretch from base 1 to 120 matches the Rfam family "5.8S ribosomal RNA", at positions 35 to 154 of the family's 154-position model. The record is from RNAcentral.
GAUGAAGAACGCAGCGAAAUGCGAUAAGUAAUGUGAAUUGCAGAAUUCAGUGAAUCAUCGAAUCUUUGAACGCACAUUGCGCCCGCCAGUAUUCUGGCGAGCAUGCCUGUUCGAGCGUCAUUUCAACCAUCAAGCCCCAGGCUUGUGUUGGAGCCCUGCGGCUGCCGCAGCCUCCCAAAACCAGUGGCGGGCUCGCUAUCACACCGAGUGCAGUAGUUUACUCUUCGCUCAGGGCGUGUGGCGGGUGCUAGCCGUGAAACCCCCAACUUCUCAAGGUUGACCUCGGAUCAGGUAGGAAUACCCGCUGAACUUAAGCAUUUCAAUAAGCGGAGGA